RNAcentral lists this ribosomal RNA (511 nucleotides) under uncultured Glomus. RNAcentral describes it as "SSU rRNA". It matches the Rfam family "Eukaryotic small subunit ribosomal RNA", at positions 569 to 1083 of the family's 1831-position model. The record is from RNAcentral. Lineage: Eukaryota; Fungi; Glomeromycota; Glomeromycetes; Glomerales; Glomeraceae.
AGCAGCCGCGGUAAUUCCAGCUCCAAUAGCGUAUAUUAAAGUUGUUGCAGUUAAAAAGCUCGUAGUUGAAUUUCGGGAUCAAUGUUUCGGUCAUGCCGUUGGUAUGUACUGAUAUUAUUGAUUUCUCACCUUCUAAAGAACCGUAAUGCCAUUAAUUUGGUGUCACGGGGAAUUAGGACUGUUACCUUGAAAAAUUAGAGUGUUUAAAGCAGGCUCACGCUUGAAUACAUUAGCAUGGAAUAAUGAAAUAGGACAUCCGAUUCUAUUUUGUUGGUUUCUAGGAUCGAUGUAAUGAUUAAUAGGGAUAGUUGGGGGCAUUAGUAUUCAAUUGUCAGAGGUGAAAUUCUUGGAUUUAUUGAAGACUAACUACUGCGAAAGCAUUUGCCAAGGAUGUUUUCAUUAAUCAAGAACGAAAGUUAGGGGAUCGAAGACGAUCAGAUACCGUCGUAGUCUUAACCAUAAACUAUGCCGACUAGGGAUCGGAUGAUGUAAUUUUUAAUGACUCAUUCGG